GAUGAACGCUAGCGACAGGCCUAACACAUGCAAGUCGAGGGGCAGCACAUGAGUAGCAAUACGAUGGUGGCGACCGGCGCACGGGUGAGUAACACGUAUGCAACCUGCCUUCUACUAUGGGAUAACCCGUUGAAAGACGGACUAAUACCGUAUAAUACAGGGGCUCCGCAUGGAGAUAUUUGUUAAAGAUUUAUUGGUAGAAGAUGGGCAUGCGUAUGAUUAGAUAGUUGGUGGGGUAACGGCUCCACAAGUCAACGAUCAUUAUGGGUUCUGGGAGGAAGGUCCCCAACACUGGUAAUGAGACAAGAACCAGACUCCUACGGGAGGCAGCAGUGAGGAAUAUUGGUCGAUGGACGUGAGUCUGAACCAGCCAAGUCGCGUGAAGGAAGACGGUUCUAUGAAUUGUAAACUUCUUUUGUGCAGGAAUAAAGUGGGUUACGUGUAACCUUUUGUAUGUACUGUACGAAUAAGGAUCGGCUAACUCCGUGCCAGCAGCCGCCGUAA
Molecule: ribosomal RNA, 504 nt
Filed under: uncultured bacterium
Lineage: Bacteria
Description: partial 16S ribosomal RNA
Rfam family: Bacterial small subunit ribosomal RNA
Source: RNAcentral